This 62-nucleotide microRNA precursor is filed under the name Xenopus laevis (African clawed frog). Its description in RNAcentral is "Xla-Mir-383-P1_pre stem-loop". The record is from RNAcentral. Lineage: Eukaryota; Metazoa; Chordata; Amphibia; Anura; Pipidae.
AGAUCAGAAGGUGAUUGUGGCUUUUAGUAGAUAGAAAGCAGCCACAGCACUGCCUGGUCAGA